This is a non-coding RNA of Lactuca sativa (garden lettuce), 2601 nucleotides long. The record is from RefSeq and is a predicted model, not a curated record. Lineage: Eukaryota; Viridiplantae; Streptophyta; Magnoliopsida; Asterales; Asteraceae.
AAUACGAAUUACACUACACUACAUUACCCUAAUCUCCUAAACACAGCCGCCAUCAAACCAAUUCUCAUCGUCUCCACCAACUUCUCCCACCGAAGAGCUGAUCCAAUUACUCACUAAAACCCUAAAUCAAUUCUUCCUAAACGCACCCAACCACCAUUACAUCUUCUACCUAUCUGUUCUUCCUGCUUUCAUAAGGUACAACACAUCGCAUAUUUCGUCCGCCGUCAUCUUCACCGAGAAGCGAGCGUCACCACAACGGUCACUGACUCUACACCAUGGAUAGUAAUCGUUUUCUCAAUCCUAGGCAGAAACCUACAUCGAUUUCUUCUGCAAUUCGUCUUAGUUUGGUUUCGGUUUUGGUGCUCAUUUUUUUGUUUGACUGCAUUCGUCACUCAAAAUAUGAGGUUAUCAGAUUCGAUUAUUUCUUGAUUUCUUCUUCUACUUUCUUUCACAUGUUCUUCGUUAACUACAAAAUCAAAUAAAGCCCUGAUAUCUAAGAUGGAGCUGUUAGAUACGGUACAUCAAACAGAAGGGCUUCAAGUUUUUUGUGUAUCUCUCUCCUGUCUCAACAUAUGCUCAUUUUGUUUUGUAUAUGUUGCAACAGAAACUUGAUUAAAUCUAAUUUUUGAGCUGGAAUCCUAGGAAAGUCUGAAUUUUUAACGGUAAUGUAUCGUGAUUGAAUCUUAUUAAUUCUAUUUGCAUCUGUUUUUGUUCAGUUUUGUUUCUAAGUUAACAAGAAUAUAUUGUGUAAUGGUUGCAGACUUGCAACUUGAUUGUAUGCCUAUAUUGUGAUGCAAUUCAGGUCCCAUUAGCUUUAAAUAUGGCAAAAAAAAAAGUUUCUACUGGUGGUGUUUUGUAUUUAUAUUCCUCUAAUUUUAAAUUUGUAUGUUAUUUGUAUGCCAGGUAUAUAAUAAGUGUCUGAACAAAACAAGCAAAGUGAUCUCUUUAUGACCAUCAGGCUAUACAACUCACAUUGUCACUUUAACCUCAAAUUGUGGAUAAAUUAAAUGAUAAGAGAGUAUUUGGGCCAACGAUGGAAAUGGACCAUAAGAGAUGAAGAUGAUAAGCCUCGACUUUUUAUUUAGAGGAAGACCCCUAUCUCAUUAAAAGAUAGUGGUGCUGCCUUCAACCAACCAUGCACAAACAUGGAUGUCACCAUUGGAAAUAGAUGAUGGUAUUGUCUUUCAUUUGCUACAUGAAACUUUUAUCAUGUAUCUUUUUCCUUUUGUUUAUUUGGUUUUUAAUCUACUAUAAUACAUACGUUUGUUUAAUUAGGGCCAACACUUCAUAUGAUUGUUUUCUGCAAGAAUGGUAACUCUGUGGUUGACUAAUAGUUGUAAGAACAGUUUCUGGUGAUUUCUUAUACAUAUUCAAAACUUUUCCCUCCUCCUGAAGCUAAAGGUUAGAAAAUGAGUUUUCCCUCCUUCAUAACUAGAUUGAUGAAGAUGUGAUUAUUAUUUAUUUUUCUUAAGAUGUUUGUAUUUAACCCACAACCCCACUUGAUUUUGUUUAAUAAAUGCAAAAUAAUAUUGAUUUUGCUAGACUUUGAAAGGAAGCUAAACCAUUUGCCAAGCAUUGCAACCAAUAGUUUCCACAAAAAGAAAAGUUUGUUGAUAAAAAGCAAUUGGAAACAUUAGACAAGAUAAAUCAGUUGAUUAGGUAGAACACUAUCUUUUCUUGCCAUUAAUCACUCUUUGAUAGCCAAUGCCAUCAGCAAAUUAAGUUAAAUUUCAUAAUUUGAAAUGUAUUCAGGUAAUUUUUCGGUGUACGAUAUUUUGAUUUUUUUGGAAUAGGAUUGCAAAUUUUGGUAUUUAGGUAAUAAAAAUCUGACAAAUGGUAAAAAUAUAUCAACUAUAAUUGUGUGUGUGUGGGGGGGGGGGGUUGUUACUGUGUGUAUGUAUGUUAUUUGUAUCCGCUAGGUGGUCAUACAAGUCGAUUGAGUUGGUCAUGCAUUUGUAUUGUGUGUACAUAAUGUUGAUUGCAUCUUCAUAUAGCCAUUAGCGGUUUUUCAGGUUGAAGACAAAUAAUGGAUCUAUGAUUCACAAAGGUAUAAAAGUUGGUUGCUAUUUGACGCCAUCAGCAUCUUGCAAAGCUUGGAGUCCUAAUUCGUAUAUUUCCUAAACCGAAAUGAAAUCUUAAAAUAUGGACUAAAAUGAAAAAAAAUAUAUACUUUUUUACCUAAACCAAAAAAAAAAAAUCAUCAGCCAUAUGGAGUAAAGUGGAGUUUAAAAGUUUUUUUUAAUCUUGAUUGCUGAUUGAAUUAACCAGUUGUAACCUUGAAUUUUUUUUUUCCGGUGCUACCUAUGGUUCUUUUUUGUAGACAUGGAGGAACUUUGCUUGAUGGAAAGAAUAAAGUUCGCUGCUAUAUUGGUGUUUUUUCUCUCAUGAUGCUUACUGAUGCUAUGAGUUUCAUUUGAUGUUGGUAAUUUCGCAUGGUGAUGUCAUAAUUGACCUUAAGUGUUGUUUUUUUUUUCUAUUGUAAAGCUUUUUGUUUGAUACUCUUUGUAACUUGUUGGAAGUUGGCUUUUAUUUGUUUUAUUAUAGUUUGUCAUAGUUCAAAAAAAAAUAUAACUAGACAUAAUCAUUUGAUUCUAUUGUGUA